UUGAAAAUUCUAAACAUCAGAGAUUUUCCAAGAAAUGUCCUAUUGUCAUUUUCCUCAGCUACGUAGAUCUAACAUAGCUUGUCUGUUCAGAGUUAAUAACAAUGUUUUUGUGUGACAUUAGACAUGUGACUGUUUACUGUUCAGUAGACAUAUUGUGCUGUUGACUUAUUUUGUGCACGUAGGAAUUUAUUUUACCUUUUACCCUAACUGUGUAUUUGACUGAGGUAAUAGCCAAGUGUACAUUUUAUAAAAUAGAUAUAAACUGGUUAGAAGUGAUACAUGUAUAUGUAUCAUGUAUAUAUAUGUAUAGUCUUUUGUAGAAUUUAUUUUGCUUGUAUUUCAUACACACUAGUGUAACGGUGGAUAUGUAAUAUAUCUAUAUGUAGUAUACUUAUUUGUGCAGGGCUAUUCACUGUACAUCAAUAAAGGAGGUUCCAGCCUGCGUCCCUGAGACAAGGGCAGAUCCGGACUAUCGUGAAGUUCUCACUCUACGCCCAUUGAAAAUAAAUCCCUUCUGACCCAA
Haliotis rufescens (red abalone) is the source of this 523-nucleotide long non-coding RNA. RefSeq lists it as uncharacterized. The transcript has 2 exons. NCBI's taxonomy places the organism in Eukaryota, Metazoa, Mollusca, Gastropoda, Lepetellida, Haliotidae. The record is from RefSeq and is a predicted model, not a curated record.